Molecule: long non-coding RNA, 2340 nt
Filed under: Volvox carteri
Lineage: Eukaryota; Viridiplantae; Chlorophyta; Chlorophyceae; Chlamydomonadales; Volvocaceae
Description: long non-coding RNA (VCAR_LNC001590)
Source: RNAcentral
ACGCGGCUGCACACGCACACGCACACGCACGUGCGAAUACCGUUGGUCGGGUCACAGAGCGAAAUUGCAGUGCCUUUGUAACAACAAUAUCUUGUUUCCAUGCCGCGUUCAACAAAGUUCAGCUGCGGGCCUCGCAACUUCCCGCGGUCCGAACGCAUUUCAUAAAAAGACGUUGGCCGUUGCACCAAAAUAAUUUUAAUAUUACCCAGGAUUAUGUAGACCUCAAAUCCAAUGCAGUUUUGCUACAUGCGGCAUGCUCGGGUGCUUCAUGUUUGACCACAGGCCGCGUCACAGAACUGCAAGAAUACGGCCCGCCUGCAGGACCGAAUGCACUGCAAUAUUAUAGAAUUAUAAACCCUUCAAAAUCAUGCAAACAGAUUUUCAAAAUACUACUCCAUCAUGGAAAUCGCCUCCUCCUAGUAAUAGGCAAAUAGGGCCGGUCAUCCGUGAACAGCACCUAAUAAACGUUGUUGCAUGGUAAAUGACGGCGUCAGGCUGCUACACCUCUGCAAUGCUAAUCGCAAGUUACACAGAAUUAUGUGCCUAUGAACUACGCGUGAAUUUAAUUAUUUGCUCGGACGAAGGUGGGCUAGUUGCGGUAGGUUGCGCUUGUGGAACUGUUUAGCUACAAGUCAAAGCUUCACACUGGUCCCUGUUCUAAUGGCCGUUAUGUCUUGCAUAGACGAAAUGGAUCAGUUUUUGUUGUUGUUCUUCGCAUGGUCUGUUCGCCAGCCAGCCUGCACGUGUUAUGUCGCCACACAAUGGCUUCGUCUUCAUUCCCACGCCCUCUGGUCUAUUUGCUGUAGCUCAACGUUGAUGUUAGUCUGCUUCCGUUUAGGUCCGCGUUCAUGACUUGUCCUUGCUGGUCUUCUUAUAGGGGGAGGUCCAUUUCCUUGAUGUUCUCCUUUGACCUGUGAAUCUCGCAUUACCUGUAACAGGAAAUGACAUGUGACUUUCGACAACAACUCAAGCGUCUGCUGCAGCACACUUGCAUGAAUAUGCUGGUGCGACCAGUGACAAUACCACCAAGCAUACGCACCCGGGCAAAAUGUCAUCAUCCCGCAAAAUAAACCAAAACAUAACUUCUACGCCGCCAGGACGCUGUGCGUCCAAAUUGGACGGACGGCACACACUUAAUAGCCAGCCGAAAUGUACGUAACAAAUACUUUACCAGCGAAUAUUGAAACGUGGCAUUAACAUCAUACACCGGAAGCACGUCCAACGAAUCGUUGUAUAGCAUGUGCAAAAGUCCUUCUAUGUCUGUGCGACGUAAAGCAAACUAUUAAAAAAUAAUACGGAAGUAGCAGGCGGGGGCCCAUAACCACUUACCCUGCCUUUAUAGACACUGACCCUGUGUGAUAAUUCAAUUGUAUUUGUAAUGUCAUGAAGUUAGUUGACGAGCUAUCAAUUCCACUCAGCCAAUCCAUUAUAAGAGUAGAGAAACGUCGGCACCGCCUAACUGUUCCGGUACUGUCACAAGCUGUAAUUCGAUCAAGAAAGGUGCUUUACUUCUCUCUGGGAUUGCAAACACAUUUCAGUAGCCACAGCGCAAGGCUCACCGCGUAUAGCAAACGCCCCAAGCUCCAUUGCGGUAUAAGAUGACAAAGCUCCCUGGAAGGCACCUAAGGGUGUCCUUACAGCGCUAACAAUGCAAGGAGUCCGUGGCGUUAGGGCCGCCAUGUUUUCCGACAUUAGGGCACCAGGUGGGUUGCAGAGCGCGGCGACCAACUGCAAAUCGAGUGGUUACCGCAGAGCUUGGUAACACGUUUAUGUUCACGUACAUACUCCAGAGGGUAAAGUUCCCAAUUACUCAUACCUCAAAGGUCACGUCCUGCCCUCGGACUUGUGUCUCAUUCCGACCGUUGGUUCGGUAAACAUCUGUACCUGCCUGCAUGUCACGAACAUAACGCACUUUGCAACUUGUAUGCUUGUCCCCAAUCCAGUACUGAAGGGAUUACGCUUGCUUGUAAACUGAAAGCGCCAAAUCCUCGAACUGACAGUUGUCCAAAAACACCUUUCUUCCUUUCUCUUAUAAAUAGCUCGAUUCGUUAACGAACAUCUUUCGUAUUCCUCAGCUUCACUGCCUACCCCCGGGGUAAUUGACCUUGAAAGCCGCAAGAGUGACUUCAACCAGGGUUAGGUCCAAACCUCACCCAGCCAAGCGUCAACGAACAUGGGCAAAAAGAAGGCGUUCAUCAACAAGAAAAAAGCCGUCACCUACAGCUUGGUUUACCGUGACCCCUCCGAAGACCCGGACGGCGAGGAUGGCGGCCAACGCGUCCUCGCGCCUGUCGGAGGCCCUCGCGGGCUGCAUCAUACAUCAGACGAUUAUUCCGAUAC